RNAcentral lists this ribosomal RNA (658 nucleotides) under Bacillus sp. (in: firmicutes). RNAcentral describes it as "bacterial SSU rRNA". It matches the Rfam family "Bacterial small subunit ribosomal RNA", at positions 60 to 698 of the family's 1533-position model. The record is from RNAcentral. Lineage: Bacteria; Bacillati; Bacillota; Bacilli; Caryophanales; Bacillaceae.
AGUCCGAGCGAACAGAUAAGGAGCUUGCUCCCUUUGACGUUAGCGGCGGACGGGUGAGUAACACGUGGGUAACCUACCUAUAAGACUGGGAUAACUUCGGGAAACCGGAGCUAAUACCGGAUAAUAUUUCGAACCGCAUGGUUCGAUAGUGAAAGAUGGUUUUGCUGUCACUUAUAGAUGGACCCGCGCCGUAUUAGCUAGUUGGUAAGGUAACGGCUUACCAAGGCGACGAUACGUAGCCGACCUGAGAGGGUGAUCGGCCACACUGGAACUGAGACACGGUCCAGACUCCUACGGGAGGCAGCAGUAGGGAAUCUUCCGCAAUGGGCGAAAGCCUGACGGAGCAACGCCGCGUGAGUGAUGAAGGUCUUCGGAUCGUAAAACUCUGUUAUUAGGGAAGAACAUACGUGUAAGUAACUGUGCACGUCUUGACGGUACCUAAUCAGAAAGCCACGGCUAACUACGUGCCAGCAGCCGCGGUAAUACGUAGGUGGCAAGCGUUAUCCGGAAUUAUUGGGCGUAAAGCGCGCGUAGGCGGUUUUUUAAGUCUGAUGUGAAAGCCCACGGCUCAACCGUGGAGGGUCAUUGGAAACUGGAAAACUUGAGUGCAGAAGAGGAAAGUGGAAUUCCAUGUGUAGCGGUGAAAUGCGCAAAGAUA